This 253-nucleotide ribosomal RNA is filed under the name uncultured bacterium. RNAcentral's name for it is "partial 16S ribosomal RNA". It matches the Rfam family "Bacterial small subunit ribosomal RNA", at positions 524 to 776 of the family's 1533-position model. The record is from RNAcentral.
UACGAAGGGUGCUAGCGUUGUUCGGAAUCACUGGGCGUAAAGCGCGCGUAGGCGGCCAUACAAGUCAGGGGUGAAAUGCCGGAGCUUAACUUCGGAACUGCCUUUGAAACUGUAUGGCUGGAAGAUGAGAGGGGAGUGCGGAAUUUCUGGUGUAGAGGUGAAAUUCGUAGAUACCAGAAGGAACACCGGUGGCGAAGGCGGCACUCUGGCUCAUUCUUGACGCUCUGGCGCGAAAGCGUGGGGAUCAAACAGG